GUACUCCCUUUGGCAGCACACAUACAAUGACUGGAAUGAUACAGAGACAAUAGCAUGGCCCCUGCCCAAGG
RNAcentral lists this small nuclear RNA (71 nucleotides) under Echinops telfairi (small Madagascar hedgehog). The record is from RNAcentral. Lineage: Eukaryota; Metazoa; Chordata; Mammalia; Afrosoricida; Tenrecidae.